Molecule: ribosomal RNA, 497 nt
Filed under: uncultured bacterium
Lineage: Bacteria
Description: partial 16S ribosomal RNA
Rfam family: Bacterial small subunit ribosomal RNA
Source: RNAcentral
GAUGAACGCUGGCGGCGUGCCUAAUACAUGCAAGUCGAGCGAACAGACGAGGAGCUUGCUCCUCUGACGUUAGCGGCGGACGGGUGAGUAACACGUGGAUAACCUACCUAUCAGACUGGGAUAACUUCGGGAAACCGGAGCUAAUACCGGAUAAUAUAUUGAACCGCAUGGUUCAAUAGUGAAAGACGGUUUUGCUGUCACUUAUAGAUGGAUCCGCGCCGCAUUAGCUAGUUGGUAAGGUAACGGCUUACCAAGGAAACGAUGCGUAGCCGACCGGAGAGGGUGAUCGGCCACACUGGAACUUGAACACGGUCCAGACUCCUACGGGAGGCAGCAGUAGGGAAUCUUCCGCAAUGGGCGAAAGCCUGACGGAGCAACGCCGCGUGAGUGAUGAAGGUCUUCGGAUCGUAAAACUCUGUUAUUAGGGAAGAACAAAUGUGUAAGUAACUAUGCACGUCUUGACGGUACCUAAUCAGAAAGCCACGGCUAACUACGUG